Gallus gallus (chicken) is the source of this 549-nucleotide long non-coding RNA. The record is from Ensembl. NCBI's taxonomy places the organism in Eukaryota, Metazoa, Chordata, Aves, Galliformes, Phasianidae.
AGGGAUACUGCUGCAUGGGUUUGGGUGUUCAGAGCUGGGAAGGGUAUAAGAAACAGGCUUUGAGGAAUGGAACCUGAGACCAAAUAACGGGAGAGAUUCUUUAGGACCCGCAGCCCAAAGUCAGCCAUCCCCGUGAGCUCAGCAGGAGGCGUUUUGCUGGGAAGGCUCCAUUCCCCCCUCUGUUACAGCCUCGUAAGCUCUACUUUAGGAAACCUGGAGAUCCGACAGCAGCCAGCAGAAGGAAAGGGCUGAGUGCUGAGUUAUGGGUGCCAGAGCAAAUCCGGACAUCUCCCCGUGUUCCAUUGGGAGCUCCCAUGGAAGGCGGCCGGGGAAGCGGUGACCGACUUCGUGUCCUUCACCUGAACCCCCAAACCUCACACAAACUCAUUAGAGGUGAAUGGAAAGCCUAUGGUGCUCAGUGAGAACCAUAUCCACGCGGAAAUGGGAUUCAAACCUCUCGCUGUUCCUUCUCCUAUCUAUUAUACAUGAGCCAUCAGAGCAGCGUAUUAAUAAAACAGGAGUGAAAGCUCUUGGCACUGCCCCCUCCUU